CGCAUGAUCGGGACGGGACUUUCCUCUCGCUACACCGUCAUUUUUGAUCACCACCGAUCACCCCCAUCGAUUGGAAUCGAAUCGAAUCAGAAUCGAAAGCGAUUCGCGAACUGGUGAAAAUCACAGGUGACACUCGGCGCAAUCAGGUAUCCGCUGGUCGAUCCGCGCGUACGCUCGCUGUCGCUUUCACUGGGCUGAAAAGGCAGCCCGUGCUCCCGCGGUUGGCGAAACGGGAACAGGACGAGGUAGGAUGUGGCGAGAUAUCGCCACUUCCUCGGCUGUCCUGCAACAGCGAGCGUACAUGGCCAAGUGGAAUGAUAACGCGCGCCGCAACGUUCGUCGCGCUCCGCGUUUCGAGGACGUUUGCGUUGCACCCGAAAGAUAACGCGGAAGAGAUAGUAAAGAGGGAGAUUGAUAAAAGAGAAACGCCGCCGAUGACUUUCCCGUGAAUCAAUGACGAGAAAGCGAUAGCAAUCGGAUCGCGGAAGGAACGUGUCAUGGAAAAGAGAGAGAGAGAAAUUGUCAGAUAAAGUUGUAAUUAAAUUAAAAGAUUCUGUGAAUUAUUUAGCUCGUUACAAUUAUUAUUAUUAUCGUUAUUACUAUUGUCUAAAUGAGAUUUCGUUUCUCAUUCGAUCAUUAUUUCAACUCUUCCACUUUCUUUUUUAUGUAUUUCUGCAACUGCAAGGGAUUGCUGCAACUUCAGGUUUUUGUCGACGUUAUGAAAAUGCACAUUCGGUGGUUUUGUCAAUUAGCCAUCGCGCCAGCAUAUGUGGGUCAAAGACCGACCGGCCUUGCGUAUGACAAUUACUGGUCUAAGCGUCAAACGUAAUGUAGCGCAAGUUAAUUAUCGCUGUGCGGUCGUACAACGACGUUUAUUGCUGCGGAAACGUCUCGGACCUUCGGCCGACCGCCGAACGCCGAGGUAAAGUGAACUUUUAACAGGAGCAUUGUUACCAGCGUUGUCCGGCACAUUCCGUUUUUUCGGUAACUUCGUGAAGCUUUGCGAAGGCUGCACUAGCAAGCGUGGUUCUUUCAAGGACGAGGAGAAAUCAGUAUUCCGACAAACUUCCAUUUUGCGAGUCAACUCGGAUGUGACGUUGUACCUUGUACACCAACGCAAGUACAUAAAUUUUCUAAAAAUAUAUCCCAUGCAAAAAUGAUUUCCUCUCUUUCUGCUAUCUUGCUAGCUAUCGCUUAGAUUAUCGCAAUGAUCGAAAGGCAAAUUACCUUUCAGCACGAACGUCUUCUUGCAUUUCCCGCGACUUUUCGCAAGAAUCGAGAUAGUCAUCUGCGAGCGACACGUAAUACGUACGUUAAUCGAAGCUUUCUUCUGAAAUUGUGAAUUAGUCAUCACAUUUCUAGUUCCAAGUAAACUUGGCGUCUGACUUGGCAGCAAAGGUUUCAAACGCGGUUUAUCUGUUCGUAUCUAUCUAUCAUAAAUGAUCGUUCGUUCCUUUUAGAGCAUAAAGCAUCAUGCGCGUUAUGCGCGUUGCGUUCAAAUAAAGCAUAUAAAUUUUUAGAGCAUAAAGCGCGAAGUACAUUAUGUCAGUACACACAACCGGAAGUAAAUGUCGAGUCUCUCUUUCCUCUGUCGGUCGGUAGGUAUCGGGUUGUUUGAGAGAGCAUCACACACACAUACACCUAUUAUGCAAAAGUGGAAUAAAUGCAUUCCGGAGGGCAUUGCCUUAGCUGCUCCUCGCUACAGGUUCGCGUAAAACUGGCAUAAAUCUCAAUCACGACUGCACGUGAUCUGUAACAAGUAAGAGCUCAUAUUUUUCUUCCAAGACCAGUGUUCAUCGCUUUACAUGGAUUGUUACAGGGUAUGUUGUGAUUUAUAAUACAACUGAGCUUAUAUUCUAUUUGUUACUAUUAAAUUUAAUUUAAUUUAAAGAAAAUUAUAAGUUUAUGUUUUGUUUUUUCUGUUUUACAAUUAUUAGUGUGUGAAAAAUGUUGCUAAGGAGAGUAUACAAUCUCUGUAUGAAACAUUUGCGUAGUAAUGGAGAAACUUUCUCAAAAAUCAUUAUUAGAAAAUAAUGACGAAUAUUUCGUAAAUUGAUAUGUUUAUUAUUAUUUUUAAUAAAGGCAGUUUUUUAAAAAAAUACCGAAUUAAUUUGCACACCUAAUAUAAUAACCUUAUCGUUUGAAACAGGUGAAACAGUGUUCACUGUUUUAUUUUCAGCAAUGCCCACGGAAGCGUUAACCGUAAACGUUACACAGAGUUACACAGAGCUCAAUCAAAUAAUCGCUGUUCCGUAGAAUCGUAACUCGAGCAUCCGGAAGGUAUUGCAAUAUCGAAUUCUCGAAGAAUGACGAUAGAAUCGUGAAGGACGAAUUGCACCGGUUUAGCGAGUAAUUCUGACGAAACGGAUUUUAACGUUUAAUUACAAGUUUUUUUAUUUCUAUCUUAAAUUGUAGAUGAUCUAUCAUUUAUUCCUAACAUCCCUCUAUUAUUUACAAUUGCUUAUCGCUUACAAUUUAUAAUCUAAAUAAACAUCACUUCUGUACGUGUGCAUGAAGAGGAACAUCGCUCGCGUCGCGGAUUUAAUGGCAAUUCUGCGUCGCGGUUUCGCCGCUUCGUUUUUAUCAUCUCGCUGCAUUGUGUCGCGGCGGAGGAAACAAAAGUUAUUCUGCGCUAGAGGAAGCAGCGACGAAUGAAAUGACGGCACACACGACGUUGGAUAUCGAAUUUAUUCUAUGAGCACGCACGUUACGUUUCGCUUUCAUACGGCCGGUCGGAGUAUGAUUAUGCGAGUCUCGUCGACAAUGACGAAUCCGCUCGUGACGACUCUAUUAAUUCUUCGUUUGACAGACUUCCGUGACCGAUGUACUUGCUCUUAUCGAAAGAAGACGUUUCAACGGAAUCCGGUUGAACAUUGACACGUUCGAUCUUCAGCGAAAGUCUCGAAAGUGUAUCGAGAGGAUAAUCCGGAUGACGCAUCAGGUUCGGGAGACCAUAAGGAUUCGCGAAUUUACCUUGAGGGAAUGGAUACGUCAAAAGCGACAUAUGGCAGAUGGGUUGGUCGUGCGUCAACGUUAAUUGGAUAGGUAAGUCAACUUGACACUCGAGUAGUCUUCUGGACUCUCGGUGACGAGCUCUCGUAACGCGACCAACAUUCAAAUAUUGAAGACAUUAAUGUCCAAGUCGACCAUGCAAUUCGAAAUCAUUCUUGACUUCUUACGAAAUAAAACGAAACUGACAGUGUCACUUGCAUGUUUGUUUUCAGAUAUUACAUUGCGGCAUAUAUAUAAGAUAUAGAAUAUCUCAGAACUGAUGGUACAAAUGGAAAGAAAAAGGAACUUAUUUUUUCUACAUGAAAAAAUAAGUCAAAAAUGUAAAAUGAGAAUUUUUUUACAAGACUUUGUUUUCAGGAAAAACAACUUUGAACAUUCGCCAGGUGUGCGUGCACUUAACCAUGGUCUCAACGGAGCUCAUUAUACGUUUAUUAUGUCUAACAAGACGAUUUCUGUUAUGCCAGUGCUGGCAGCGAGAUUGGUCGACAAUAACUAACAAGACUAAAUUAUAGCUCUUAUUUCUUCCCAGGUACUAUAACUUUGGUAUCACAUCUGCAUUUAUCACAAGAUGAGCUGGCUGACUUAUUAGUAUCUCUCAAAUUAAAAGCUCAAUUUUUCAACACGAUAGAAAAACGAUUUAGUCGAUUAAAGUGAGAAUCCUUUCUUUAAAUAAACGGUAUUAAUAUUAGAUUGUUCGUGAAGAAUACCUUAGCCAUCACGAUGUUCGGAUGAACGAAACUAGAUUUUUAUUGACGAAGACACGUAACUUCUUUACGAAAAUCUACAACCGAACUAUUUGACUGGUCCAAUAUAUAUUGUACUUCAUCCGUAAAAUUAUUGUUAUAUUUUUCUAUAAAAUUUUCCUCUUCUUUUCAAAUGUCGAACAACCUGCAGCAGGUAGUACCCACGAAAGGUCAAAAGAAAAUCUAAAAGACGUUAUCAACAACUUUUCAAAAUAUUUUUUCCUCUAAAUAAAAUAUAAGAAACGUGUC
Ooceraea biroi (clonal raider ant) is the source of this 4004-nucleotide long non-coding RNA. RefSeq lists it as uncharacterized. NCBI's taxonomy places the organism in Eukaryota, Metazoa, Arthropoda, Insecta, Hymenoptera, Formicidae. The record is from RefSeq and is a predicted model, not a curated record.